UACAGAGGUUGCAAGCGUUGUUCGGAAUCAUUGGGCGUAAAGCGCGCGUAGGUGGCGCGGUAAGUCAGGUGUGAAAUUUCGGAGCUUAACUCCGAAACUGCAUUUGAUACUGCGGUGCUUGAGGACUGGAGAGGAGGCUGGAAUUUACGGUGUAGCAGUGAAAUGCGUAGAGAUCGUAAGGAAGACCAGUGGCGAAGGCAGGCCUCUGGCCAGUUCCUGACGCUGAGGUGCGAAAGCAGGGGGAGCAAACAGG
RNAcentral lists this ribosomal RNA (253 nucleotides) under uncultured bacterium. RNAcentral describes it as "partial 16S ribosomal RNA". It matches the Rfam family "Bacterial small subunit ribosomal RNA", at positions 524 to 776 of the family's 1533-position model. The record is from RNAcentral.